This 464-nucleotide ribosomal RNA is filed under the name Vreelandella stevensii. Its description in RNAcentral is "partial 16S ribosomal RNA". It matches the Rfam family "Bacterial small subunit ribosomal RNA", at positions 339 to 795 of the family's 1533-position model. Lineage: Bacteria; Pseudomonadati; Pseudomonadota; Gammaproteobacteria; Oceanospirillales; Halomonadaceae. The record is from RNAcentral.
CUACGGGCGGCUGCAGUGGGGAAUAUUGGACAAUGGGCGAAAGCCUGAUCCAGCCAUGCCGCGUGUGUGAAGAAGGCCUUCGGGUUGUAAAGCACUUUCAGUGGGGAAGAAAGCCUUGGGGCUAAUACCCUCGAGGAAGGACAUCACCCACAGAAGAAGCACCGGCUAACUCCGUGCCAGCAGCCGCGGUAAUACGGAGGGUGCGAGCGUUAAUCGGAAUUACUGGGCGUAAAGCGCGCGUAGGCGGUCUGAUAAGCCGGUUGUGAAAGCCCCGGGCUCAACCUGGGAACGGCAUCCGGAACUGGCAGGCUAGAGUGCAGGAGAGGAAGGUAGAAUUCCCGGUGUAGCGGUGAAAUGCGUAGAGAUCGGGAGGAAUACCAGUGGCGAAGGCGGCCUUCUGGACUGACACUGACGCUGAGGUGCGAAAGCGUGGGUAGCAAACAGGAUUAGAUACCCCUGUAGUC